This 200-nucleotide unclassified non-coding RNA is filed under the name Russula sp. Its description in RNAcentral is "partial internal transcribed spacer 2". The record is from RNAcentral. Lineage: Eukaryota; Fungi; Basidiomycota; Agaricomycetes; Russulales; Russulaceae.
UUAAGUUCAGCGGGUAGUCUCACCCGAUUUGAGGUCAAGGUUUUUUCUUUUGUGGGUCCAGCCUCCUCCACCAAUGUAGACGGCGGUGACCAGAGCACCAUCAUUGUCCGUGAGACAGUUAGGAGCAGGCAUCUAAGGGACAGUGCUAAAUCCAAAACGUAGAAACAUCUUAUCACGUCAAGGACCAGCAAAGCAGACCC